GACGAACGCUGGCGGCGUGCUUAACACAUGCAAGUCGAACGGAAAGGCCCUGCUUUUGUGGGGUGCUCGAGUGGCGAACGGGUGCGUAACACGUGAGUAACCUGCCCUUGACUUUGGGAUAACUUCAGGAAACUGGGGCUAAUACCGGAUAGGAGCUCCUGCUGCAUGGUGGGGGUUGGAAAGUUUCGGCGGGUGGGGAUGGACUCGCGGCUUAUCAGCUUGUUGGUGGGGUAGUGGCUUACCAAGGCUUUGACGGGUAGCCGGCCUGAGAGGGUGACCGGCCACAUUGGGACUGAGAUACGGCCCAGACUCCUACGGGAGGCAGAAGUGGGGAAUAUUGCACAAUGGGCGGAAGCCUGAUGCAGCAACGCCGCGUGCGGGAUGACGGCCUUCGGGUUGUAAACCGCUUUCGCCUGUGACGAAGCGUGAGUGACGGUAAUGGGUAAAGAAGCACCGGCUAACUACGUG
RNAcentral lists this ribosomal RNA (468 nucleotides) under uncultured bacterium. RNAcentral describes it as "partial 16S ribosomal RNA". It matches the Rfam family "Bacterial small subunit ribosomal RNA", at positions 28 to 507 of the family's 1533-position model. The record is from RNAcentral.